CACAUGCAGUCGAACGGGCUAGCAAUAGUCAGUGGCGCACGGGUGCGUAACACGUAGGUAAUCAACCCCUUGGUUCGGGAUAACGUUCUGAAAGGAGCGCUAAUACCGGACGCGUCUUCGGGAGCUUCGGCUCCUGUCGAGAAAGACCCGCAAGGGUUGCCGAGGGACGAGCCUGCGGCCCAUCAGCUAGUUGGCGAGGUAAUAGCUCACCAAGGCGAAGACGGGUAGCUGGUCUGAGAGGAUGAUCAGUCACACUGGAACUGAGACACGGUCCAGACUCCUACGGGAGGCAGCAGUGGGGAAUAUUGCGCAAUGGGCGAAAGCCUGACGCAGCCACGCCGCGUGAGCGAUGAAGGCCUUCGGGUCGUAAAGCUCUGUGGGGAGAGACGAAGAAAGCCUGUGAAGAGCAGGCCUUGACGGUAUCUCCUUAGCAAGCACCGGCUAACUCCGUGCCAGCAGCCGCGGUAAUACGGAGGGUGCGAACGUUGCUCGGAAUCAUUGGGCGUAAAGCGCACGUAGGCGGCGGCGUAAGCGGGAUGUGAAAGCCCAGGGCUCAACCCUGGAAGUGCAUCCCGAACUGUGUCGCUUGAAUCUCGGAGGGGGACAGAGAAUUCCCGGUGUAGAGGUGAAAUUCGUAGAUA
This 641-nucleotide ribosomal RNA is filed under the name Nannocystis sp. RNAcentral's name for it is "bacterial SSU rRNA". It matches the Rfam family "Bacterial small subunit ribosomal RNA", at positions 52 to 696 of the family's 1533-position model. Lineage: Bacteria; Pseudomonadati; Myxococcota; Nannocystales; Nannocystaceae. The record is from RNAcentral.